This 69-nucleotide transfer RNA is filed under the name Marmota marmota marmota (Alpine marmot). It matches the Rfam family "tRNA". Rfam says of the family: Transfer RNA (tRNA) molecules are approximately 80 nucleotides in length. Their secondary structure includes four short double-helical elements and three loops (D, anti-codon, and T loops). Lineage: Eukaryota; Metazoa; Chordata; Mammalia; Rodentia; Sciuridae. The record is from Rfam by way of RNAcentral. RNAcentral also lists the same sequence under 2 other names.
GGAGUUGUGGCUCAGUGGUAGAGUGCUUGCCUAGCAUGCAUGAGGCACUGGGUUCGAUUCUCAGCACCA